This 1181-nucleotide long non-coding RNA is filed under the name Heterocephalus glaber (naked mole-rat). Its description in RNAcentral is "lncRNA (ENSHGLG00000031897.1)". The record is from RNAcentral. Lineage: Eukaryota; Metazoa; Chordata; Mammalia; Rodentia; Bathyergidae.
GUUCUCGGGGACUGUACCAGGCUCCUGGCCCUUCCAUGUGGGCUUCUCCCCCAUCUCUCCUUCUUGGAUGCCAUGAGUUGAGCAGCUUUCCUCUGCUACACUUUGCAACAUGAUGUUUUUGCCCUGCAAGCAGCCAACCAUGGACUGAAACACCUGGAACCGUUUCCAGAUGAAGUGAUUUGUGCAUUCUGUUGAGGAAACCAAGCAGGGCUGAGGAUGGGUGGUAAUAGCAUUGCAUCUCAUCACCACUCUUACUGGGACAAGAAGCACGAGUGCUUCAACUGUGUAACAAGAUUAACUGCUUCAUCUACUAGUCAAGUGAUCAUAAACGAAAAAGGAAGAAGAACCAACAACAAACAACAAAUACAAAAGAGAAUCCUUUACCUGCCAUCUCACAGUUUAUGGAAAAUGAUGUCUUUCCCAGAACAAGCCCAGAGUUAGAUGAUUAUUAUUAUUUUUUUUUUCUUUUCUGUGCUGGAGCUCUAACUCUGAGCCUGGCACAUGGUCCUGAUGCGCUCUAUCAGUGAGUGACACCCCAGCAGCCCACACCCAUGGAUUCCUGGCUGUACUAUCUUGUCAUGACUCUAAAAUCUCUCUGUCCUGACUUUGCUGGGUGACCUGAGGCCAGCACCUCCUACAUACCUGCCACAGCUGCUGGAGUCGUUUGCUGACACUGGUAUUCUCCGUAGGGAAAGAGAUAUCCCUUCUUAGCAGUGUGAAAGCUUUCCCAGCAGCAGCCGGCAGCCUUCCUCUUUCAUCCACCUGAUUGGAGUGGUGUCACCUAGCCGUGGCUAAAUAAUCAUCAGUGAGGAGGCGGAGACUGCUGGAGUAGCCUACAACUGAUGACAGUUCACCACCAGCUGGAAAUCCAGUCCCACAAGGAUUUAAUCAGGAAAACAGACUCAGCUUUCCAGUGUUUGUUAAAGAGACAGACAUGUGCAGGAAAUUGGUGACACAGUCACGGCAAACUACUGCACUCCAGGGAUGCUCUCACCCAGCCUCCCCAGCAGGGUAUUAAAGAAAAGGGAAUGAUGACUUCUCAUGAAGCCAUUCAGGAACAUCAGAGAAUAUACCUGAAGUGUUUUUAUAUCUUGGCAAAGAUGACUAAGGACAGACAAGGGAUUUCCAAUGUUCUAUAUGAGAUGCGUGUGGACAGAGGUUGAGAAGGAGCUAUAGCCCAC